UAUAUAUAAGUAUUUAAUAGCACAAGAAGUUUUGAUCUUCUAAGAAUUAAUGAGAUUCUAUUUAUAUAA
Molecule: transfer RNA, 69 nt
Filed under: Faxonius rusticus
Lineage: Eukaryota; Metazoa; Arthropoda; Malacostraca; Decapoda; Cambaridae
Description: tRNA-Gln
Source: RNAcentral